RNAcentral lists this long non-coding RNA (465 nucleotides) under Rhinopithecus bieti (black snub-nosed monkey). RNAcentral describes it as "lncRNA (ENSRBIG00000045826.1)". The record is from RNAcentral. Lineage: Eukaryota; Metazoa; Chordata; Mammalia; Primates; Cercopithecidae.
GAGGACCUGAAAAUUAAAACUGAAAUAAAAUAAGCAAUUAACAAGCUUUGGGCAGUAGGUCAAAUUUCAAUUUCUCUACUUUUUCCUUUCUAGUCCCAACUGUUUAUUAACUGAAGUUCAUGGAAUACAUCUGCAUGCCCCUACAAUAAGAGACAGCGACCUGCUGAUACUAAGUUCAUAUAAAGCUGCCCAUCAUCAUCAUAUGAUUCAUUCUGUAUGAAAAGACAUGAAGAAAUCUAAGGAGAGAAAAAUAAAGGCCCUGAUCCACAUAAAAGUGAUUCUGAAGCUCUGCAGGAGGUUAAGGUGGCAGAUUUCAGCUGCAGUGGAUGGGCCAAUUCAGUUUCCAAGUCUGUCGUCUUUCUCCUGGAACCAGAAGGUUAGUCCAUCCUCUUUUCACGGUGAUGCUGAGGUGCAAAAGAGCAAAUAUUUAGUAUUAAAGUAAGGAGAUGGAGGAAGUGGGAGUAA